This 75-nucleotide transfer RNA is filed under the name Lachancea fermentati. RNAcentral describes it as "tRNA-Tyr (GTA) cove score=71.85". It matches the Rfam family "tRNA". Rfam says of the family: Transfer RNA (tRNA) molecules are approximately 80 nucleotides in length. Their secondary structure includes four short double-helical elements and three loops (D, anti-codon, and T loops). Lineage: Eukaryota; Fungi; Ascomycota; Saccharomycetes; Saccharomycetales; Saccharomycetaceae. RNAcentral also lists the same sequence under 3 other names. The record is from RNAcentral.
CUCUCGGUAGCCAAGUUGGUUUAAGGCGCAAGACUGUAAAUCUUGAGAUCGGGCGUUCGAAUCGCCCCCGGGAGA